ACACGUAGGGGCCUGACGUUGUUCGGAAUCAUUGGGCGUAAAGGGCGCGCAGGCGGCCGUCCAAGUCCGGUGUUAAAUGGUCGGGCUCAACCCGAUCAUGCGCUGGAAACUGGGCGGCUUGAGUCCCGUAGGGGAUGCCGGAAUUCCAGGUGUAGGGGUGAAAUCUGUAGAUAUCUGGAAGAACACCGAUGGCGAAGGCAGGCAUCUGGCCGGAGACUGACGCUGAGGCGCGAAGGCGCGGGGAGCGAACAGGUUUAGAUACCCUGGUAGUCCGCGCAGUAAAUGAUGCGCACCAGGUGUCGGGCGGCAGCGCCCGGUACCGGAGCUAACGCGAUGAGUGCGCCGCCUGGGGCGUAUGCCCGCAAGGGUGAAACUCAAAUGAAUUGACGGGG
Molecule: ribosomal RNA, 392 nt
Filed under: uncultured bacterium
Lineage: Bacteria
Description: partial 16S ribosomal RNA
Rfam family: Bacterial small subunit ribosomal RNA
Source: RNAcentral